CCACUGUAGAAGCUAAACAGGAUAGCGCUAGCCUUUUAAGCUAGAAAAAGAGAACUUUCCACCCUCCUUAGUGAC
This 75-nucleotide transfer RNA is filed under the name Chelydra serpentina (North American snapping turtle). RNAcentral's name for it is "tRNA-Lys". Lineage: Eukaryota; Metazoa; Chordata; Testudines; Chelydridae. The record is from RNAcentral.